UCGUUGCCCUCGCUCUCCUGGCUCUCGCGGCGAGCGCCGCCUCCACGCUUACAACCGGCGGCUGCGGCUGCCAGACACCUCAUCUACCACCACCGCCGGUUCAUCUGCCGCCGCCGGUGCAUCUGCCACCGCCGGUGCACCUGCCGCCGCCGGUUCACGUGCCACCGCCGCCACCACAAUGCCACCCACACCCUACUCUACCGCCCCACCCACAUCCAUGCGCUACAUACCCACCGCAUCCAAGCCCGUGCCACCCAGGGCAUCCCGGAUCCUGCGGUGUUGGCGGCGGCCCCGUCAC
RNAcentral lists this long non-coding RNA (298 nucleotides) under Sorghum bicolor (sorghum). RNAcentral describes it as "long non-coding RNA (SBIC_LNC003607)". Lineage: Eukaryota; Viridiplantae; Streptophyta; Magnoliopsida; Poales; Poaceae. The record is from RNAcentral.